Molecule: ribosomal RNA, 396 nt
Filed under: uncultured bacterium
Lineage: Bacteria
Description: bacterial SSU rRNA
Rfam family: Bacterial small subunit ribosomal RNA
Source: RNAcentral
UAUUGCACAAUGGGGGAAACCCUGAUGCAGCGACGCCGCGUGGGUGAAGAAGUACUUCGGUACGUAAAGCCAUAUCAGCAGGGAAGAAGAUGACGGUACCUGAUUCAGAAGCCCCGGCUAACUACGUGCCCGCAGCCGAGGUAAUACGUAGGGGGCAAGCGUUAUCCGGAUUUACUGGGUGUAAAGGGAGCGUAGACGGCACAGCAAGUCCGAAGUGAAAGCCCAGGGCUCAACCUUGGGAUUGCUUUGGAAACUGUUGAGCUGGAGUACGGGAGGGGCAGGCGGAAUUCCUAGUGUAGCGGUGAAAUGCGUAGAUAUUAGGAGGAACACCGGCGGCGAAGGCGGCCUGCUGGACCGUAACUGACGUUGAGGCUCGAAAGCGUGGGGAGCAAACAG